RNAcentral lists this small RNA (715 nucleotides) under Pongo abelii (Sumatran orangutan). RNAcentral's name for it is "processed transcript". The record is from RNAcentral. Lineage: Eukaryota; Metazoa; Chordata; Mammalia; Primates; Hominidae.
GUGUGGCUGUGCCCUGUGGCCUGCCGUGUCUACUUGUCAUCACCUGCCUUCAAGAACCAUUUGCAGAUAUGCCUGAGGAGGCCUGGCCAAGGAUUUCGAUUGGAGGAUUGACCAGAAUCACAAAAAUGGGCUACAACUUAAGUCAUUAACGGGCUGAAGCAGAGGAUCCUGAAGCUGGAACAGCAGUGCAAGGAGAAGGACGGCACCAUCACAAACUCCAGAGCGAUAUGAAGACUACCAACUUGGAAGAGAUGCGGAUCGCCAUGGAGACGUACUACGAGGAGGUGCAUCGUCUUCAGACCCUCUUGGCAAGUUCUGAAACCACUGGAAAGAAGUAUGAUGGCCGUUUGCAAGCUGUGUUUUGUGUGUUGCCUUCACGUUAUGGAAGCUCCUCUGAGAGCGUGUGGCUGUCACGUGGGUGCGGCAUAUACUGCCCUUAGCUUGGCAGCAGUGCCAACACUGCACCUGUUCUGUUCAGGGUUAGAGUUGACACAUUUCCAUUUGGGGUGUUCACAGACUCCUCAUAGUGACCACAUGUUGACGGCCAACGCGUGUUCAAUGCUGCCCGUGUUCGUUAUAGAUUCUACAUCCUGCCUUCCAGCUUAGAGCUAGAAAAUGCUGUUUCAAAGCAGAUCCACCUUUUUAGGAAGACAUUGCAUACAAGGACAAGUUUACUUUGCCACCUAAUGUUUUCCUAAAUAAGUUUAUCAGGAGA